Molecule: long non-coding RNA, 781 nt
Organism: Oreochromis niloticus (Nile tilapia)
Lineage: Eukaryota; Metazoa; Chordata; Actinopteri; Cichliformes; Cichlidae
Exons: 2
Source: RefSeq, a predicted model, not a curated record
AGUUAUUGUGGACAGAAACAAGUUUAAAGCCCUGCUGCAGCGGUGGAGACGUUCAAAGGGUUACAGAUACCUGCAGAGGAUGUUUCCUUAGAGGAAAUUCUCACAUCGCUGCUUUUCGCUAUGUUGAGGAGCGUUUCCUGGAAACACACGACUUUCACCCUUGAAAAAUAGGUAGACCUGAACUGGGAAGGAUUGGAAUUCAAUUUCAAUUCAAUCACCCCAACUUUAUUAAUAUUUCUUUUUGUCUGACUCUCUUUUAGUUCAGCCUCCCUGAGCCCAUGUGUUCUCCAAAUAUGUUGCUUUCUCCUCUUCCUCACAGUCAUCUGCAUGCUCAAUGUAAAAUGUCAACAACUGAAGAUAAGGGGAUCAUAUAAAAUAACAUAAAUAUAAAUAUGAAAAUCAAAUGACACCUAGGCAUGAAUGCUUUAUUUUCCCCAGUUAUUAUCAGGGAUAUUUUAUUGCAUAAGAAAACAUUUUAAAAUAUACAGAUAACAGCUGUAGAUUUGCAAUAUAAUCAAUAAAUAAAAAAAAAAAAUCAUGACUAUAAACAACAUAUUUUGGAUUCUGAGCUGUAAAUAUAUAUAUAUAUAUACACAGAUAUGAGUUUAUUGCUUGUGUAAUGAGUCCCGGAGAAGGACAUCUGUUGAGCAGCAGCAUGUCUGAAACACCGCUCUGCUGUCAUUUCAAGCCAACGGGAGGACGGAGGAGGGCACGCAGGUCCACCACAAACCAACAGUCUGCAGGUUACCUAGGUCCGACUGGCUUCUGCCUUUUCGCCAAA